Long non-coding RNA from Hyla sarda, 782 nucleotides. RefSeq lists it as uncharacterized. The transcript has 4 exons. The record is from RefSeq and is a predicted model, not a curated record. Lineage: Eukaryota; Metazoa; Chordata; Amphibia; Anura; Hylidae.
AAGCAUGCAUUAGCAUAACAUCCAGCAAGCACAUGGAUAAGAACCCUAUGAAGUGGAGGAAGCAGCAUAGAGUGAGACUGAUCCCGGCAACAAUUACAAGGAUGGAGGAUCUGCCAUGACACCAACCUCUUGUCUCCUCAUGGAGUUUACUAAGAACAAAAUGGAUAAAUAAAGCAUUUCCCAUUUCAAAAUAGAAGAAAAUCUGCAAACGAAGAACAAGGCAACUACAACAAGAAGCUACAUGGACUACAGGACUCAAUAAACUAAUACUAAAAUAUGGCUAAAAAAAUAUCCUUGUGUGAAAGCAGCCAUAGCUGUUGGACAGCUCAGUUAUCCAAUGAAGCAGACCUGACGGAUCUAAUCGUGUAAGCCAAGACCUGCAGGGAAGUGAAAGGCAGAACGUAUUGGAUGUGAGGACAGGAGCUGACAACAUCAUUUUACUGCUGAGGUCUUUCAGAGGUCGACAAACAGACUGAUCACAGUAUUCAUUCUAUUUCGUUUUACUCAUUAGAAAAUAUGAUGAGAGAAUAAAGGCAGCCUCUGAAUAGGCGGGAUGGAUGGACAGCCUCAUAGAACGCUGACACAAGACCACAUCGGCGCAUCUGCGGAAAAACCAGAGACGUCUUCUUUGUUAUCACGCCGCCGCAUCCUACCCUUACUUCUAUUAUCCGUCUAAUGACGUGUUAACUACAUCUAAUGACAACAAUAUGGACACACUUGGAGAUUUCAAUAUCCUCAAUCCCCAGCCCAAAAUCAGGAAUAAAAUGUUAUUAUGCCAUUGA